This 648-nucleotide small RNA is filed under the name Pongo abelii (Sumatran orangutan). Its description in RNAcentral is "processed transcript". The record is from RNAcentral. Lineage: Eukaryota; Metazoa; Chordata; Mammalia; Primates; Hominidae.
ACAGGGAGUCAAAGAUUUUGCAUGUUCUUUUUCUGGAUCUGUACCCCUUCAAGAAUACUUUGAGUUGAUUGAUCAUCAUUUUGAGCUACGGAUAAAUGGUGAAAAAUUAGAAGAACUCUUAUCUCAGAGAGCUGUACAAUUUCGGGCCAUUCAACGCCGGCUAUUAGCAAGAUUCAAAGAUAAAACUCCUGCACCUCUUCAACACCUGGACACCUUGUUAGAUGGAACCUACAAGCAGACACAAUGGUGGAAGGGCAUUUAAAGGAACUUGAAGAGGAUACUUGAUUUAAUGCUUUCCAGAUUUUCUAUAUAGUAAGACUUCGUCUUUUAUAGAUUGAAAGUGCAGAGGUUUUUUUUUUCUGUUUAGACUCAGGGUUGAGGUUUUCCAUGAUUUGUAAUAUUACAGACAAGAUGAUCAAAACCAUGGCUUUUCACUUGAAUGUAUUAUUGGUAAGUCCCAUUCCUUUUAGAUUAAUGAAAAGAAUGAAUAAGCAUUUGAAGGAAAAAUAUGAGUACUAUAAGGAUUUUGACUUAAUUUUUAUGUACCUUGCCAUUCAAUUUUAUUAUAUAUAUAUAUUUGUAAUAAAUUAGGGUGAGGUGUUGAUUGUUCAAAAAGUUUCUUGAGCAUAAUAAAGUCUAUUUUAAUUC